Helianthus annuus (common sunflower) is the source of this 601-nucleotide long non-coding RNA. RefSeq lists it as uncharacterized. NCBI's taxonomy places the organism in Eukaryota, Viridiplantae, Streptophyta, Magnoliopsida, Asterales, Asteraceae. The transcript is spliced from 4 exons. The record is from RefSeq and is a predicted model, not a curated record.
ACUCACAUUUGUGAGUGUCUGAGUUCGACCAGAAUGCCAGGGGCGACCAAGGGGAAGAACUCCAAACCUAGUUCUUGUUUAAAUCCACAAAUUGAAGGUCAAGAUCAGCCCUAAAACGAAAUCUGAACCCGGAUUAGUGAUCCCCAUUGAAAGGGGAGUCACAAGUUGACUCUAAACAAGCUAGGUGGGAGCUUGAAAAGGAACGGGUCAAACGGGUCAUGGAUGCGAAGAAUGUUUGUGCAGACGCGAGGGUAAAACGGCUUAUAGAAUUUACGUGGCUACGAAUCAGCAAAUUAUUAAGGCAAGGUAUUAAAACGGGUCAAGACUUUGACCCGCGCCAGGUACAUUUUGGAUGCCGGAAGACGAUCAAGCUCGACGAAGGACCGAACACGAUAUAGAUACAUGCUUCCGCACUUUAACACAUUGCAAAUUUUAAACAACGAAUUCAACCACGUUAUGUAGAAUAACUUAUAAAUUGUAAAAGUUUUAAUAAAUUCGUAUUUUUAUAGUAUGUGUAGGCUUAACUACACAUCUAAUUGUUGGCAUAUACAUUACAAAUUGUUAAUUAGUAACUAGGGUGUUACAACAUAUUUUCCAAACA